RNAcentral lists this ribosomal RNA (492 nucleotides) under uncultured bacterium. RNAcentral describes it as "partial 16S ribosomal RNA". It matches the Rfam family "Bacterial small subunit ribosomal RNA", at positions 29 to 507 of the family's 1533-position model. The record is from RNAcentral.
AGUGAACGCUGGCGGUAGGCCUAACACAUGCAAGUCGAACGGCAGCACAGUAAGAGCUUGCUCUUACGGGUGGCGAGUGGCGGACGGGUGAGGAAUACAUCGGAAUCUACUUUUUCGUGGGGGAUAACGUAGGGAAACUUACGCUAAUACCGCAUACGACCUACGGGUGAAAGCAGGGGAUCUUCGGACCUUGCGCGAUUGAAUGAGCCGAUGUCGGAUUAGCUAGUUGGCGGGGUACAGGCCCACCAAGGCGACGAUCCGUAGCUGGUCUGAGAGGAUGAUCAGCCACACUGGAACUGAGACACGGUCCAGACUCCUACGGGAGGCAGCAGUGGGGAAUAUUGGACAAUGGGCGCAAGCCUGAUCCAGCCAUACCGCGUGGGUGAAGAAGGCCUUCGGGUUGUAAAGCCCUUUUGUUGGGAAAGAAAAGCAGCAGGUUAAUACCCCGCUGUUCUGACGGUACCCAAAGAAUAAGCACCGGCUAACUUCGUG